CAGUAGCGGCGAGCGAAGCGGCAACAGCUCAAAUUUGAAAUCUGGCCUCGCGGUCCGAGUUGUAAUUUGUAGAGGAUGUUUCGGGCGUGGUCCGGUCUAAGUUCCUUGGAACAGGACGUCAUAGAGGGUGAGAAUCCCGUAUGUGACCGGGUGCCUAAGCUCAUGUGAAACUCCUUCGACGAGUCGAGUUGUUUGGGAAUGCAGCUCAAAAUGGGUGGUAAAUUUCAUCUAAAGCUAAAUACUGGCCAGAGACCGAUAGCGCACAAGUAGAGUGAUCGAAAGAUGAAAAGCACUUUGGAAAGAGAGUUAAACAGCACGUGAAAUUGUUGAAAGGGAAGCGUUUACAAUCAGACUUGCGCGCGGCUGAUCAUCCGGUGUUCUCACCGGUGCACUCGGCCGCGCUCAGGCCAGCAUCGGUCUCGGUGGUUGGACAAAGGCCGUGGGAACGUGGCUCUUCGGAGUGUUAUAGCCCACGGUGCCAUACAGCCUACCGGGACCGAGGACCGCGCUUCGGCUAGGAUGCUGGCGUAAUGGUUGUCAACGACCCGUCUUGAAACACGGACCAAGGAGUCUAACAUUUGUGCGAGCGUUUGGGUGUCAAACCCGCACGCGUAAUGAAAGUGAACGGAGGUGAGAACCCUUAAGGGUGCAUCAUCGACCGGUCCUGAAGUCUUCGGAUGGAUCUGAGUACGAGUAUGAAUGUUGGGACCCGAAAGAUGGUGAACUAUUCCCAGGUAGAGUGAAGCCAGAGGAAACUCUGGUGGAGGCUCGCAGAGGUUCUGACGUGCAAAUCGAUCUUCAAACCCGGGAUUAGGGGCGAAAGACUAAUCGAACCAUCUAGUAGCU
This 846-nucleotide ribosomal RNA is filed under the name fungal sp. RNAcentral describes it as "partial large subunit ribosomal RNA". It matches the Rfam family "Eukaryotic large subunit ribosomal RNA", at positions 81 to 952 of the family's 3401-position model. The record is from RNAcentral. Lineage: Eukaryota; Fungi.